Molecule: unclassified non-coding RNA, 283 nt
Filed under: Hevea brasiliensis (rubber tree)
Lineage: Eukaryota; Viridiplantae; Streptophyta; Magnoliopsida; Malpighiales; Euphorbiaceae
Source: RNAcentral
GCAAUAUUUAGACAACUUCUUGAGAGAUCAGGGAGGAUUUGCAACAACCUCAAAGCUAGUUCAAACUAGUGGAAGGUUGUCUGCAGGAAAGAGUAAAAAAUAAAAAAACAAAUAAACUAGCUAGAUAAUCUUUUGUAUCAAGAAAGAAGGAAAAUUCUUAGUUCAAAUAGCUUAUUAAUGGCUCGAGGAAAGGUUCAGAUGAAGCGCAUAGAGAAUCCGGUGCAUAGGCAGGUUACUUUCUGCAAGCGCCGAUCUGGGCUCCUUAAGAAGGCUAAGGAGCUCU